RNAcentral lists this ribosomal RNA (433 nucleotides) under uncultured Anaerotruncus sp. Its description in RNAcentral is "bacterial SSU rRNA". It matches the Rfam family "Bacterial small subunit ribosomal RNA", at positions 341 to 792 of the family's 1533-position model. The record is from RNAcentral. Lineage: Bacteria; Bacillati; Bacillota; Clostridia; Eubacteriales; Oscillospiraceae.
ACGGGAGGCAGCAGUGGGGGAUAUUGCACAAUGGGGGAAACCCUGAUGCAGCGACGCCGCGUGAGGGAAGAAGGUUUUCGGAUUGUAAACCUCUGUCUUUAGUGACGAAGAUGACGGUAGCUAAAGAGGAAGCCACGGCUAACUACGUGCCAGCAGCCGCGGUAAUACGUAGGUGGCAAGCGUUGUCCGGAAUUACUGGGUGUAAAGGGAGCGUAGGCGGGAAGACAAGUCGGGUGUCAAAUCUAUCGGCUCAACCGGUAGCAGCACUCGAAACUGCCUUUCUUGAGUGAAGUAGAGGUAAGCGGAAUUCCUAGUGUAGCGGUGAAAUGCGUAAAUAUUAGGAGGAACACCAGUGGCGAAGGCGGCUUACUGGGCUUUAACUGACGCUGAGGCUCGAAAGCAUGGGUAGCAAACAGGAUUAGAUACCCUGGUA